GAGGAUCCUUCUUUCGUUUCGCAUUUCUCAUCGGACAAAUCAAGGAAUCAAAAUGACAAUAACUAGUAUCGAUUGAUGGAGGAGAGACAUAUGUAGGUUGGUACAAUCGGGGGUAUCACCAUAUUAAGCAUAUUAAGUAAGGAUUCAAAGAGAUACCGUACAGGUCUGGCUUUUUUCGAUUGUUCCUGGCCCAUCGAAUAGAGUAGCAAUUUCUUUCCCAGGAGCACAUAACAUUUUCUUUUUUUUUUUACGAUACGCAAUUAACUUAACAUAGUUACCCCCAUAGAGUACUUUUCAGAUUCAACCUACCCUUUCUUUCUAGCUCCUAUUUUUUUUUCUUCGCUACACCUAUUCUUUCUUCUUCCAAUCAAUUCGAAAAAAUCCAACGUCAACUGCUCUACUCUAAUUCAUAGGUUUUUUUAUUGUAUUGAUCCCGGGAUAUAUUGAAACAAUUGUAUGGGCAUAUAAAAAAAAAGCAACCAAGUCAUCCCUUAGCACAAGCACUAAGUAAGCAAGCUACCUUUUUUU
This 528-nucleotide long non-coding RNA is filed under the name Glycine max (soybean). RNAcentral describes it as "long non-coding RNA (GMAX_LNC002198)". Lineage: Eukaryota; Viridiplantae; Streptophyta; Magnoliopsida; Fabales; Fabaceae. The record is from RNAcentral.